GGCUUGGUGGUGUAGCGGUAACACACCUGCUUUACUUAAUGGAGGUUAAAGUGGGUUUAGCAGGAGUCCUUUGUUCGAUUCAAGGUCAGGCCA
Mycena latifolia is the source of this 93-nucleotide non-coding RNA. Lineage: Eukaryota; Fungi; Basidiomycota; Agaricomycetes; Agaricales; Mycenaceae. The record is from the annotation of a GenBank genome assembly.